UACAGAGGUCUCAAGCGUUGUUCGGAUUCAUUGGGCGUAAAGGGUGCGCAGGCGGCGGGGCAAGUCGGACGUGAAAUCUCGGGGCUUAACCCCGAAACUGCGUUCGAUACUGCCCUGCUAGAGGACUGGAGAGGAGACUGGAAUUCCUGGUGUAGCAGUGAAAUGCGUAGAUAUCAUGAGGAAGACCAGUGGCGAAGGCGGGUCUCUGGACAGUUCCUGACACUGAGACACGAAGGCCAGGGGAGCAAACGGG
Molecule: ribosomal RNA, 253 nt
Filed under: uncultured bacterium
Lineage: Bacteria
Description: partial 16S ribosomal RNA
Rfam family: Bacterial small subunit ribosomal RNA
Source: RNAcentral